RNAcentral lists this ribosomal RNA (253 nucleotides) under uncultured bacterium. RNAcentral describes it as "partial 16S ribosomal RNA". It matches the Rfam family "Bacterial small subunit ribosomal RNA", at positions 524 to 776 of the family's 1533-position model. The record is from RNAcentral.
UACGGAGGGUGCGAACGUUGCUCGGAAUCAUUGGGCGUAAAGCGCACGUAGGCGGCGAAGAAAGUUGGGUGUGAAAGCCCUGGGCUCAACCCAGGAAGUGCAUUCAAAACUACUUUGCUUGAAUCUCGGAGGGGGUCAGAGAAUUCCCGGUGUAGAGGUGAAAUUCGUAGAUAUCGGGAGGAAUACCAGUGGCGAAGGCGGCUCACUGGCCCGGUACUGACGCUGAGGUGCGAAAGCGUGGGGAGCAAACAGG